Molecule: ribosomal RNA, 254 nt
Filed under: uncultured bacterium
Lineage: Bacteria
Description: partial small subunit ribosomal RNA
Rfam family: Bacterial small subunit ribosomal RNA
Source: RNAcentral
AGGACGAACGCUGGCGGCGUGCUUAACACAUGCAAGUCGAGCGGAAAGGCCCUUCGGGGUACUCGAGCGGCGAACGGGUGAGUAACACGUGAGCAACCUGCCCUUAGCUUCGGGAUAGCUCCGGGAAACCGGAAUUAAUACCGAAUAUGACUGCGGCUGACAUCAGCCACGGUGGAAAGUUUUUCGGCUAGGGAUGGACUCGCGGCCUAUCAGCUAGUUGGUGAGGUAACGGCCCACCAAGGCGACGACGGGUA